Molecule: transfer RNA, 28 nt
Filed under: Junonia stemosa
Lineage: Eukaryota; Metazoa; Arthropoda; Insecta; Lepidoptera; Nymphalidae
Description: partial tRNA-Gly
Source: RNAcentral
UAUUUAUAUAAUAUAUUUAGUAUAUUUG